GAUGGGACGAGCCGUUCGCUGUGGUGAGACCCUCCCUGCGGUGCUGCCUCCGGCUCUGGGGCCACCGACAGAAGGACGUGGACCUGUUGGAGAGGAUCCAGAGGAGGCCACGGAGAUGCUUGGGAGAGCUGGAGCCCCUCUGCUGGUACACGUGGCGGUGUUUGGCAGCACAAAGUGCCUCGCAGAAGUGGAUGCAGUCGUUUGCGCUGCAGAACUGCUGUCUCACUUUAAUUGGCAUAAUCAGGUGAAGAAAACACUUCCCUCCUCUCCCUGCCACCCGCACCUUCCUGCUGCCCUCCACAGCAGGUCGGAGCCGGUGUGUCACCGCUCGCUGCUUGUUUCCCUCUCGACAGCAGCCAACCGCCGCCGGAGAAAGGGAACGAGUCUGGCUCAGCCAGUGGUCCAGUCAACACAACCCACCCCUGCGCUGGUUCUUCGUUAAAAAAUACCAUCGGAGGAGUCGUAGUUCUGGCUGUCAAGCAAGGGACAUGCAGAAGUUGAAGUCCACGACUUGGGAACUUAAGCGAAGGUCAGUGAAUAGGGUUCUAUGAUUUUCAUAAAUGGCUGCAAUACUACAAGCCAUUACUCAUCAGAAAUUUGGCAGAGUAAUGGUGCCUAAUAUAAUUAGGUAAUCCUAAUGAAUUCUCGUGUAAUCAAAUCUAAUCUCUGGAUGAGUUCAGUAGGCUGAGGGCAGUGAAUGGCUAGAACGUCUGGUGCUCUUAGGCAGUGACAUAAGGACUGUCACUGCAGCCAGGGGCACAGAGCUUCGCCGGCUGAACACCCUGGGUGGUUAUGGUAGCAAUAUGCCUUCAAAUAUCUUCAUUACUGAGUGCUAAAUAAGAGCAGCAGCGUGUUAGAAACUGCAGGUUACCUAAGCCAUACUUUUGGGGGAUUUCCCGCUCAGCCGUUCAACUCAGUAUGAAGUUCUGUGGACACGGGAUGCAUCGGAGACCGCAGAGGAGACGUGGGGACACUCUGCUCUAUCCCAGCCUGCAAAUCCUCAGUUCCUUGUCCGAAGUGUUGCAGACAUCUCUCCAUGCUUCUCCUUCAGCAGCCAUGUCCUUUGUCUCCUGCUGGUUCUGCAACCUUCCAGUCCUUUGAUCUUGCAGCCUCUCCGGAAGGUAGAAUAUCAAAGGCUACAUUUUCUCCCAUGCAUCACAUUUGCCUUUGGGUCUUGGUCAGUUCUUCAAAGGCCGUGGAGGUUGCACUACUGAAGGCCCUUCAGCCAAAAAUACUGAUCAGGUGCCACAAAGAACUUGCUAGAUUUGAAGAGGUACUGGCAAAGACAAGAUCAUCAUCAGGAACAUUUCCAACAGUGGAAAACGUUUCCAUUUCUCUUUGGGAAGCUGCUUUAGGAUGCUGCUGCAGGCACAGGGAAUUCACAAGGUUCCUAUAACUUUAUAGCUUUAAGAAGAGAUGAAAAGGUAGCACUUCAGAUAUCACUUCAGUCUUCAGAGUGCUAUAAUAUAGAUGUUUAGCCCAAUCACAUACGUGAUUUCAGCCACAGGAAAACACCUUGCAAGAGAGAUUAUUUAUUUUUUUUGCUAUUGGAGAAGUCUGGUUUUUUUCUGCGUUCUAAAUCUUAGUCUGGUCCAUCACAAUUUGUAGCAAUUAUGUGAAUUCAGCAUGGAGGAAAAGAUGUUAAGACAAAGUUUCCCCCAAACAGGAAAGUUUGAACCCUGCAUGGAAGAGAUUAGCUGCCUGUGAACAAAUGACUUAGGAGCACAGACAUCAAUAAAUGACAGCAGCAAAAGUUCUCA
This 1760-nucleotide long non-coding RNA is filed under the name Calidris pugnax (ruff). RNAcentral's name for it is "lncRNA (ENSCPUG00000018912.1)". The record is from RNAcentral. Lineage: Eukaryota; Metazoa; Chordata; Aves; Charadriiformes; Scolopacidae.